UUUGUGAAGAGCGCUUGGAACCAUGUAGCUCCCAGCCAUGUCAGAACAAAGCUGUAUGUCACAAUCGUCCUUCUGGCUACGUUUGCAACUGUCCUGCUGGAUUCACAGGCUACGACUGUGAAACUGAUAUCAACGAAUGCUUCUCAGAUCCGUGUCAAAAUGGAGCCACAUGCACAGAUUUGCCAAAUGAUGUGGCAUGUAGUUGCUUGCCAAUGUUUAUAGGCAAGUUCUGUGAAAAGUUGGUGACAUUCUGUGAGCCACCCCCCUGCCUGAAUAAUGGUUCUUGCAUAGCUGAAGUGGAAAGCUAUCAUUGCAGCUGCAUGCCAGGAUAUACUGGAAGGAACUGUGAGGAAGUAAUUGAAUACUGCAGUCUGCUCAGCAUCCUCUGUCUGAAUGAAGGAUUGUGUCUCAAUAUAAUUGGAGGAUUCAGUGUAAGUAAUCAAA
Lacerta agilis (Sand lizard) is the source of this 444-nucleotide long non-coding RNA. RefSeq lists it as uncharacterized. NCBI's taxonomy places the organism in Eukaryota, Metazoa, Chordata, Lepidosauria, Squamata, Lacertidae. The record is from RefSeq and is a predicted model, not a curated record. The transcript has 3 exons.